RNAcentral lists this long non-coding RNA (228 nucleotides) under Lathyrus oleraceus (garden pea). Its description in RNAcentral is "Pisum sativum (pea) long non-coding RNA (PSAT_LNC011516)". The record is from RNAcentral. Lineage: Eukaryota; Viridiplantae; Streptophyta; Magnoliopsida; Fabales; Fabaceae.
AAUUUUAGCACUCUAAAGGCAUGAGGCAUAGUUUCUCUUCAAACUCCAUUAGCAUAGGUAAGGUCCUAAAAUCUAAGUCCUUUUUCCAUUUUUGCAUUAGGUUCACACAAUCAAAACAAAACAAGCACAAUAGUAUAUACACAAUAAUGUGCUCAAGUGAGCAAAAGGCAAAUUGCAUUAACAUAAACAUGAGCUCAAGUGAGCAAAGGGCAAAAGCAAAUGAAUUAA